This 433-nucleotide ribosomal RNA is filed under the name uncultured bacterium. Its description in RNAcentral is "partial 16S ribosomal RNA". It matches the Rfam family "Bacterial small subunit ribosomal RNA", at positions 29 to 507 of the family's 1533-position model. The record is from RNAcentral.
AACGAACGCUGGCGGCAUGCCUAAUACAUGCAAGUCGAACGAGAUCUUCGGAUCUAGUGGCGCACGGGUGCGUAACGCGUGGGAAUCUGCCCUUGGGUUCGGAAUAACUUCUGGAAACGGAAGCUAAUACCGGAUGAUGACGUAAGUCCAAAGAUUUAUCGCCCAAGGAUGAGCCCGCGUAGGAUUAGGUAGUUGGUGAGGUAAAGGCUCACCAAGCCGACGAUCCUUAGCUGGUCUGAGAGGAUGAUCAGCCACACUGGGACUGAGACACGGCCCAGACUCCUACGGGAGGCAGCAGUAGGGAAUAUUGGACAAUGGGCGAAAGCCUGAUCCAGCAAUGCCGCGUGAGUGAUGAAGGCCUUAGGGUUGUAAAGCUCUUUUACCCGGGAUGAUAAUGACAGUACCGGGAGAAUAAGCUCCGGCUAACUUCGUG